RNAcentral lists this small nuclear RNA (311 nucleotides) under Mesitornis unicolor (brown roatelo). Its description in RNAcentral is "7SK RNA". It matches the Rfam family "7SK RNA". Rfam says of the family: 7SK was discovered as an abundant small nuclear RNA in the mid-70s but a possible function has only recently been suggested. Two independent studies have found that 7SK RNA binds the CDK9/cyclin T complex (known as elongation factor P-TEFb). The record is from Rfam by way of RNAcentral. Lineage: Eukaryota; Metazoa; Chordata; Aves; Mesitornithiformes; Mesitornithidae.
GUAUGUCCACAUCUCCCCCAACAUCUGUCACCCCAUUGAUCACCAGGGUUGAUUUGACUGAUCUGGCUGGCUAGGCAGGUGUCUCCUUCCUCCCUCACGGCUCCAUGUGCAUCCCUCCUGAAGCUGCACGCUCAAUCAAAGAGGACAACCUUCUCUGAUAGAGACAUACUGUCCUUCGGUCAAGGGUAUACAGUAGCUGCGCUCCCCUGCUAGAACCUCCGAACAAACUAGACCCGGCACUGAAGAUUCUUCGCCAGUGCUGAACAGAAGGGAAGGAUCACCUCCCUUGACCUCCUGGUAAGUCUAAAGAG